GCACACAGGGUAGUCAUGAGGGCAGCAGCUGUAGCGAUCUUCGCAGCACGUGGCAGCCUCGAGUGGGCAGCAUCCCCAAGCAAAGCAGUAGUUAUAGUACUCGUAUAUGCAGCAGCAGGUAUUGCUCUCGGGACAGGAAUAAUAACUAUCGCACACGGUCGGAGGUUUUAUAGGAGAUGGUGGAGACGGUCCGGGAUUGGGGGGAUUUUCACCUGUUUUGAUCGGAUAAGAGGCUUCCAUCGCGAUCCCACAUUUGCCAGUUACGGUAUUGGCCACAUUCCUUGCCAUCCUGAUAUAGCCUGCUUCUCCCCAGCUGCUUCCCCAUGAGUUCUUUACAAUCCAAUAGUCUUUACCUUUCUCUGUGCCAUAUCCAACAGCAGUGACACCGUGGUCUAGUUGUGUUCCACAUUUUCCAUCAAAUAUACCCUGGAAAAAACCGUAAAAAUGUCAUUUAUCGGACAGUGCUCGGACUUUGAU
This 477-nucleotide long non-coding RNA is filed under the name Gossypium raimondii (Peruvian cotton). RNAcentral describes it as "long non-coding RNA (GRAI_LNC001196)". The record is from RNAcentral. Lineage: Eukaryota; Viridiplantae; Streptophyta; Magnoliopsida; Malvales; Malvaceae.